Molecule: non-coding RNA, 4750 nt
Organism: Phasianus colchicus (ring-necked pheasant)
Lineage: Eukaryota; Metazoa; Chordata; Aves; Galliformes; Phasianidae
Source: RefSeq, a predicted model, not a curated record
CUCAAUUUCUCAUUCCAAAUAUUUGACAAUUGCACUCCUUUGGGGUUCCCUGUGGCAUCUUGGAGUCUUUAUAGAUCCUUGAGGUCUAACACUGUGGACAGGUAAACAAUGGAGUUUAAAAUGAGAAGCAUGCUCAGAAGUAGCAGAAAACAGAGAAAGUUUCAGCUUGAGAUGAAAAAUAAACAACAACAAAAAAACCCUGUUGUUGCAACAGCACGAGGGUUUAUGAGCAACACGGGAAAAAAUAUGAGUACUCAGUUAUUUUUAUGAGGAGUGGAGGAGUAACGGAGGUAGUGCUGUUUUAAUUUUAAAGCCAGAUAUUUGAGGAAGUGGAUUGCAGCAGUUGUUUCAUGUUUAAUUAUUUCUCAAGCUGCAGUUCAGCUGAAGAGAAGAACGAUAAAGCAGUGGUUGCUGCUGUUGUCUUGAGUGAUUUAUGCCACUCCUUUCUACGGGAUCUGAACCAGUGAAGACCUCUUUUAUGCUGUUUUUUCCUGCUCUGAUUUACAGUUUCUUCUCAUGACAAAUCUUUCAGAGGUGGCAGCACACAGAAAAUGACCUACAGGAAGUCCUGGGUCCCCCUGGACUCUCUCUCCUUAUUGGACAGUGAAAAUGUACGUCAUGCAAAGAUGUCAAAUGCACUGCUGAUUAUCUUGCUCUUCUUAUUUCCAAUGCUGCUAUCAGGACAUUGGUUUCCCAAAACUUUACCCUGUGAUGUGGAAGCCUUUGAAGGUACUGUGAGAGUAGACUGCAGCGAUCGUCACCUCACGGAAGUCCCCAGAGGGAUCCCUGGAAAUGCUACUAACCUGACCCUGACUAUUAACCAUAUCCCCCAUAUCUCUCCAGCAUCCUUUAUUCAGCUAGAAAACCUUGUGGAGAUUGACUUCAGAUGCAACUGCGUGCCUGCCAGACUGGGGCCCAAAGAUAGCGUGUGCAGCACACCACCAUCAAUUGAGAAUGGCAGUUUUGCUGCUCUGAAAAGACUGAAGUCAUUGUAUUUGGAUGCAAACCAACUGUCAGAAAUACCCCAGGGUCUUCCUGCUACUUUACGACUGCUGAGUCUGGAAGCAAACAGAUUUUUUUCUAUUAAAAAAAACACUUUUUCAGAGCUCAGAAAUAUAGAAUUAUUGUAUCUGGGACAGAAUUGUUACUACCGUAAUCCAUGCAAUGUUUCUUUUGAAAUUGAAAAAACAGCCUUUCUGAAUCUGAAAAAUUUGACAGUACUGUCCCUGAAGUCUAACAACUUAACUUUUAUUCCACCCAACUUGUCUUCAACUUUAAAGGAAUUGUAUAUUUACAAUAACAGAAUUCAAGAGGUUCAGGAACAUGAUUUAAGUACCCUUCACAACCUAGAAAUUCUUGAUCUCAGUGGCAAUUGCCCACGUUGCUAUAACGCCCCAUAUCCUUGUACUCCCUGCCCUAAUAUCUCAAUUAAGAUUCAUUCAAAGGCUUUUUAUUCCUUGAAAAAAUUAAGAAUUUUGAGACUUCACAGUAACUCUCUUCGGAGUAUACCAAGCAGCUGGUUUAAAAACAUCAAGAAUCUCAAAGAUCUUGACCUCUCCCAAAACUUCCUCAUAAAGGAGAUUGGAGACGCUCAGUUUUUGAAGCUUAUCCCCAGUCUUGUAGAGCUGGAUCUGUCCUUUAAUUUUGAAUUGCAGAUGUAUUCUCCAUCCUUGAAUCUGUCUAAGACGUUUUCCUCCCUUUCUAACCUGGAAACCCUAAGAAUCAAGGGUUAUGUCUUUAAAGAACUGAGAGAAAGAAAUCUAGAUCCAUUACUCAGUCUUAGAAAUCUGACAGUGUUGGAUCUUGGCACUAAUUUUAUUAAAAUUGCUGACCUAAGAGUGUUCAAGAAAUUCCAAGCUCUCAAAAUCAUAGAUCUCUCAGUGAAUAAAAUUUCUCCUUCUUCAGGUGAAAGUAACUUUUAUGGAUUUUGCUCUGACCCCACAAUUACAGUAGAGCAGUACAGCAGGCAAGUUUUACAAGAGAUGCAUUACUUUAGGUAUGAUGAGUAUGGUCGAAGUUGCAAGUCCAAAGACAAAGAGGCUGAUUCCUACCAACCUUCAGUCAAUGGAGAUUGCAUGAGUUAUGGAAAAACUCUCGAUUUAAGCAGAAACAAUAUAUUUUUUGUUAACUCUGUAGACUUCCAGGAUCUCAGUUUCCUCAAAUGCCUCAACUUGUCAGGUAAUGCCAUAAGUCAAACUUUAAAUGGAAGCGAAUUCUACUACCUGUCUGGAUUGAAAUAUCUGGAUUUUUCUAACAACAGGAUUGAUUUGCUAUAUUCAACUGCUUUCAAUGAGCUGAAAUUUUUAGAAAUUCUAGAUCUGAGCAAUAACAAACAUUACUUUCUGGCAGAAGGUGUUAGUCACGUGCUUAGUUUUAUGAAAAAUUUGGCCUACCUGAAGAAGCUGAUGAUGAAUGAGAAUGAGAUUUCUACUUCUAUUAGCAUGGGGAUGGAAAGUCAAUCUCUUCAAACUUUAGAAUUUAGAGGAAAUCGUUUAGAUAUUUUUUGGGCAGAUGGGAAGACCGAAUAUCUGUCAUUCUUCAAGAAUCUGACCAAACUGGAACAACUGGAUAUUUCCUCUAACAUGCUCAGCUUCUUACCUCCUGAUGUUUUUUCAGCUAUGCCUCCAGAACUCAAGAUACUAAACUUAACCAGUAACCGGUUGAAGACAUUCAAUUGGGGAAAUCUCUACUUGUUGACCAAGCUAGUAACUCUGGACCUCAGCAAUAACCUUCUGACUACUGUUCCCCGAAAGCUAUCCAAUUGCACUUCAACUCUCCAAGAACUGAUACUCCGAAACAACCGUAUUACACGGAUAACCAAAUAUUUUCUCAGAGGUGCCAUUACAUUGUCAUACUUGGACCUCAGUUCAAACAAGAUCCAAAUAAUUAAGAGAUCUAGCUUCCCUGAAAAUAUCAUAAACAACCUGAAGGUGCUGCUUUUGCACAACAAUCCUUUCAAGUGCAAUUGUGAUGCAGUGUGGUUUGUUGGGUGGAUCAAUCAGACUCACGUGACAAUUCCUCUUCUGGCCACAGAUGUGACCUGUGCUGGCCCAGGGGCACACAAAGGAAGGAGCUUGGUUUUCCUGGAUCUGAAUACCUGUGAGCUGGACACAUCCUAUUUGAUCAUGUAUGCUUUAUCAACUUCAGCUGUCCUAAGUUUAAUAAUGUUUGCAGUUAUGAGUCACCUCUAUUUCUGGGAUGUUUGGUAUAGCUAUCAUUACUGCACUGCCAAGUUGAAAGGCUAUAGACGUUUACCUUCACCAGACACCUGCUAUGAUGCUUUUAUUGCCUAUGACAAUACUGAUCUGGCUGUGAAUGAAUGGGUGAUGACAGAAUUGGUUGAAAAGCUGGAAGAUCAAAAAGCCAGGCAGUUCAAUUUAUGCUUGGAAGAAAGAGACUGGCUUCCAGGACAGCCAGUCUUUGACAACCUUUCCCAGAGUAUUCAACUGAGCAAAAAGACCAUAUUUGUGCUGACCAACAAGUAUAUUAAGAGUGGCACUUUCAAGACAACAUUUUACAUGGCCCACCAACGACUUCUAGAUGAAAAAAUUGAUGUGAUUAUCUUGAUAUUUCUUGAGAAAGUAUUACAGAAGUCCCGAUAUGUUCAGCUGAGGAAGAGGCUGUGCAGAAGUUCUGUUCUGGAAUGGCCAACUAACCCUCGAUCUCAGCCCUACUUCUGGCAGUGUCUGAAAAAUGCCAUAGCUAUGAACAACACUCUGGCUUACAACAAACUUCUCCAGGAAACUGUUUAGCUUUACUGCUCCCUGUAAAAUACUGUUACUAUGUGUGGUGAGGAAAAGAUGCUGAACUUGCUAUGGAGAAAAUGUGAAAGUGGAGAGAAUAAAUAUAAUUGUGAUAUGAUACCCAAAAAUGAAACGCACAAUCUGUCCCAAAGAUAAUAAUUGCAUUGUUUUGCUAUGACGACAUUAAAUAUAAACUGAUGCCAGCACAGAUGAUUAACUGUUGCACACCUCAUUCAGCAUUUGCAGCAAGAGAAGAUGCAACAGAGUCACCACUCCCAGUUUCAGUUCGCUGGAGAACAUCUGACAUCACCUGGCUGGGUCAAAUGACAUCUGAUGUUUCCCAGCAAUGUUGAAGCUGUUACACGGGUGUCAAAUUUAUGCUAUCUGCAUGCUCUUGACUGAUUGCCCUGCACCACUUCGCAUGUGCAGCAAGGAUUGAUUGGCUACUGCUAAUGCACAUCCAGAAGGCCUUCACAGCUACAGAAAAUCCUUGGUGUCAGUAUAUUUAAAACUGAGGAGGCAGACCAAAGAGAACAAACCUAUCUGACUCAUAGCCACACUUCUUUCCUGUAGAGGGGUCCCUCCCCCACUUAUGGCCAGAUUCUGCUUUCCUCACACUGUGCUGGAACAUUCCCACAAAAAUCAGUUCUCCAUUCAUGAGGUUGACCUUUCUGUAGCUGAUUACUCUGCAUUCUCUGCAACAGAGCUGGUGCUGCAUGUAGCUGUCCUGUCAGGUGCUGCCCUGUUGGCUGCAAGCUUGGUAUUGACGUUGAGUUUGAUGCAGAGCAGUCCUGCCUGCAGUAUUGUUCUCUAAUGAACAGAUUUAAGAUCUUUUAAAUUCAGAAUUGUCUCAUUUAUACUGCGGACUAAUUGUAUGCCACUAUACUCAUGUUUUCACUUUAUCUUCCUUCUCCUUUCACCAACAAUAAAAAAUUGCAUAGCACCUGGUUCCUGUUUCAUAGUUUUUGAUUCCAUCAAAAGUUUCAGACUUCCCUUUAAUCCUUCUU